RNAcentral lists this long non-coding RNA (37443 nucleotides) under Medicago truncatula (barrel medic). Its description in RNAcentral is "long non-coding RNA (MTRU_LNC001085)". The record is from RNAcentral. Lineage: Eukaryota; Viridiplantae; Streptophyta; Magnoliopsida; Fabales; Fabaceae.
CGAAAACUACCCAAAUUGACAGCUCUAGAAUUACAAAUUCGUGAGACUUGGAUGUUGCCAAGGGACUUGCAAUUGGUGUUUGAGAAGCUGGAAAGAUAUAAAAUAGCUAUUGGAGAUGUAUGGGACUGGUCUGACAUCAAGGAUGGAACCUUAAAAACAUUGAUGCUCAAACUUGGUACAAACAUACAUUUGGAGCAUGGAAUUAAAGCAUUGAUUAAAGGUGUUGAGAAUUUGUAUUUGGAUGAUGUAGAUGGAAUUCAAAAUGUGCUUCCUAACCUAAAUAGAGAAGGAUUUACAUUGCUGAAACAUCUCCACGUCCAAAAUAAUACUAACUUGAAUCACAUUGUUGACAAUAAAGAGAGAAAUCAAAUCCAUGCGUCCUUUCCCAUCUUGGAAACACUAGUACUUCUUAAUCUUAGAAACUUGGAGCAUAUAUGUCAUGGUCAACCUUCAGUUGCUUCUUUUGGAAGUCUCAGUGUUAUCAAAGUAAAAAAUUGCGUCCAGUUAAAGUAUCUUUUCUCCUUUACAAUGGUUAAAGGACUUUCUCACCUUUGUAAGAUUGAAGUUUGUGAGUGCAAUUCUAUGAAGGAGAUAGUGUUCAGAGACAACAAUUCAAGUGCUAAUAAUGAUAUUACUGAUGAAAAAAUCGAGUUUCUUCAAUUGCGUUCUUUGACUUUAGAACAUUUGGAGACACUUGAUAAUUUCUUCUCAUAUUAUUUGACACAUUCUAGAAAUAAGCAAAAGUGUCAUGGUUUAGAGCCGUGUGAUUCUGCACCAUUUUUUAAUGCUCAGGUAUGUUAUUUUGUUUUUAAGUUUCUCUCGAUACAAAUGAUAAAAAUUUUAAUAUCAAUUUUCAAUAUAUAUAUAUAUAUAUAUAUAGGGUGUAUCAAAUGAGAGGAGUGUUAAAAUGAGAGAUGAGAGCAUUAAAGGACAGUCGUUGGAUUAAAAUCAACCGCUCAGAUCACUUUUAGUUAUUAGUGUGUAUUAUAUGCUAUUUUAUUUUCUCACGCGCUAAUGAGAUCGCGUUAUUAUCUUCACCUUCAAUCUCUCUCUUUUCCAUUUUUGGAUUGACAAUCCAAGCAAUUUAGUGGCACCUGUGUCAAAUUGCAUCUUUAUUCUAAAACACAAUUUCAGUUCACCAUUAUAUCCAAAAUCAAUAGAAACUUAAGUGAAUCAUAAACACCCAGAUUUUGAAUUUUGUAAAAAUUAGUAAGAGCUAUCAUUUGGUGUGAUUCUUUUUUGGAUUAAAAAUAAGAUUUGAUGCAUCAAAAUUGCCUUGCCCAAAAUCUGGAAAAAAGAUUAUAGACCGGGGUUUUAGGGUUGUGAUUUAACCCUCACAUCUCUCAAUGUAAAUAUUGCUCUCAUUUGAUACAUCCCAUAUAUAUAUAUAUAUAUAUACACGCAAAUAUAGGUGUGUGUGUGUGAGAGAGAGGCCUAUCAUUAUAGUCACCAUAUCACCAUAUAUAGGCCUUCAAUAAUGUUUUUGUUAAUUUGUUUUUAACGUAGGUUGCAUUUCCUAAUUUGGAUACCCUUAAAUUGAGCUCACUUCUCAAUUUGAAUAAAGUCUGGGAUGACAAUCAUCAAUCUAUGUGCAACUUGACUAGCUUGAUUGUGGAUAAUUGUGUUGGAUUGAAGUAUUUAUUUCCCUCUACUUUGGUUGAAAGUUUUAUGAACCUCAAACACCUUGAAAUAAGUAACUGUCAUAUGAUGGAGGAGAUAAUAGCUAAAAAAGACAGAAACAAUGCACUGAAAGAGGUAUGCUAAUUCUAUUAUUGGAGCAUCCAAUUAAUUUUAAAUAAUUAUUUAUUCUGAUGGUAGUUAUUUAUGAAUUCAUAGGUUCGUCUUUUAAAUUUAGAAAAAAUCAUAUUGAAGGAUAUGAACAACUUGAAGACAAUAUGGCAUCGUCAAUUUGAAACAUCGAAGAUGUUGGAAGUGAACAAUUGUAAGAAAAUUGUGGUGGUUUUUCCUUCUUCAAUGCAAAACACAUAUAAUGAGCUUGAGAAGUUGGAGGUUAGAAAUUGUGCUUUAGUUGAAGAGAUAUUUGAAUUGACUUUCAAUAAAAAUAACAGUGUAGAGGUUACGACACAUUUGAAAGAAGUUACUAUAGAUGGACUGUUGAAGCUGAAAAAGAUAUGGAGUGGAGAUCCUGAAGGAAUUCUUAGUUUUCGAAAUCUAAUAAAUGUACAACUAGUUAGUUGUAGAAGCUUGGAGUAUCUAUUACCACUCUCCGUAGCCACUCGUUGCUCACAUCUCAAGGAACUUGGUAUAAAAUGGUGUGAAAACAUUAAGGAAAUUGUUGCAGAGGAGAAAGAAUCUAGCUUGAGUGCAGCUCCCAUAUUUGAGUUUAAUCAACUAAGUACUUUAUUGCUUUGGAACUUACCUAAACUCAAUGGUUUCUAUGCUGGAAAUCAUACUCUAGCAUGCCCAUCUUUGAGAAAAAUCAAUGUCUCUAGAUGUACAAAGUUGAAAUUGUUCAGAACACUAUCUACAAGAAGCUCCAAUUUUCGAGAUGACAAACCCUCUGUUUUAACGCAACCACCACUUUUCAUUGCUGAAGAGGUACGCAUGAUAAACACUCUGCAGGACUUGUUUUUUAUUUUAUUUUACAUUAAGGAGUUAGCGUUAUUCUUUAAUCUUUUGAAAUACCGAUCAACUACUUCCUCCGAUCCUAAAUAUAUGAAAAGUAUCUGUUCUUUAGGUUCCUUAAAUAAUUAAUGUAUUUGAGCUAUACUAUAUAAACUAAAUACAUCAUUUAUUCAAUGAACCUAAAAAUAAAAAUUUCUCUUAGGACCAGGAGUAUUACUAUUCAUUUAUAAAUUUGGAAAAAUUUAAAACAACCCAAAAACUUUAUAAAAAGACAAACCAUAUUUAAUGUCAAAAGUUAUUAAAAUAUUUUACAUUAUAGAUAUACUCCCUACGGUCUCGAAUGUGAGAAACAAAACAAAAAAAUUGAUGGUCUCAAAUAUAAGCAAAAAUAUAAAAAAAUCGUCCUAUUAAAUGUUGCUAUUCCAAUCUCACCCUCAUUAACUUUAUUUAAUUUGUUUCACAUUCCCAUGUUUAACACUUUCUAAAGAGUAUUCAUUGGUUUAGUUCAAAAGUCAUGUUUUCUCGUAAAAUGUUUCUAUCAUUAAUAUCUGAAUGUGUACUACUUGAGAAAUAACUCCAGAACAAGGGGAAAAAAAAUAGAAAAAUGGUAUUUUUUUUUUUAUAAUGACUUAAAUACAGUCAUUCCACUUUCUUCGUAGGUGUGCCUUUUUUUUUCCUUACAUUCAAGAUCGGAAGGAGUACUUGAUAAUUUCUAUAACAAAAAUACUCCCUAAGUUCCUUUUUAAGUGUCACUUUUGGAGAAAUUUUUUGUUCCUAUUUAACUGUCACUUUCAAAGUUCAAUGUAACAUUAAAUGUUGUUUUACCAAUAUUAUCCUUAGUUAUUUAUUGUGGAGAGAGAAAUAUAUGAAAUGAGAUAUUAAAUUAAUAAAGUCAUUAUAGUAAAAGUAUAGCUUAUUGCAUCCAAAGUAGUAUCAAUUAUUGAUUGUCUUGAUUUAUGUAAAAUGUCAAAAUGUGAUAAUUAAAAAGGAACGGAGGUAGUAACAACUAGCAAGAGUGGCAUUUAAAUACAAAAUUGAUAAUUUCCAUAAAUUGAUAUAUUUGAGUAUAAAAGAAAUUGAAAAAAGUACAGAGAUAUUGGCAAAAAUUAAAAAGACAAAUUUUAGUCAAUAGUAAUUAUUGUUUCACUCAAUAAUAAAAUGUUUAAUUCUCUUACAUUGUUGUUUAAAUAUGUUUUAGGUGAUUCCAAACUUGGAGCUGUUGAGGAUGGUACAGGCGGAUGCUGACAUGAUAUUGCAAACCCAAAACUCAAGUUCCCUCUUUUGCAAAAUGACCUAUCUUGGAUUGGCUAGCUAUAACACCGAGGAUGCUAGAUUUCCUUAUUGGUUUCUUGAAAAUGUGCAUACUCUUGAGAAUCUACAUGUUGAGUGGAGUUGCUUCAAGAAGAUAUUUCAAGAUAAAGGACAAAUAAGUGAGAAGACUCAUACACAAAUCAAAACACUGAUGUUGAAUGAAUUACCUAAACUUCAACAUAUAUGUGAUGAAGGAUCUCAAAUUGACCCAGUUCUUGAGUUCCUUGAAUACUUAAGGGUUCGUAGUUGUUCUAGUUUGACAAAUUUGAUGCCUUCCUCCGCCACCCUUAAUCAUCUCACAAAGUUAGAGGUAAUAAAAUGCAAUGAGCUAAAAUAUUUGAUCACAACUCCUACUGCACGAAGUUUAGACAAGCUCAUUGUGCUGAAGAUAAAAGAUUGUAAUUUACUUGAAGAAGUAGUUAAUGGAGUAGAAAAUGUUGACAUUGCUUUUAUUAGUUUACAAAUUUUGAAUUUGGAAUGUUUGCCAAGUCUCAUCAAAUUUUCCUCUAGUAAGUGUUUCAUGAAGUUUCCAUUAUUGGAGGAAGUAAUUGUGAGGGAAUGUCCUCGGAUGAAGAUUUUUUCAGCGGAAAACAUAAGUACACCAAUUCUUCAAAAAGUUAAAAUUGCAGAAAAUGAUUCAGAAUGGCUUUGGAAGGGAAACCUAAAUGAUACAAUAUACAACAUGUUUGAAAAUAAGGUAUGUUUAUUUACCACUUUACUUCUUGUGUAACAAUAUAAUGAUUUGGGUUUCUAUUUUCUUUUGUUUUGUUUGGAUGCAUAAUAGCUUAUUUUAAAAGUAUAUCGCAAUAUACUCUUAAAAAAAAGGGUUAACAGGUCUUUACUCCCUGUAAUAUAGGUUAUUUCCGAUUUUCCCCACGUAAUUUUUUUUUUAUUUGCCCCCUGUUCAAAAAAAUUGUUUUGAUUUACCCCUCUAAUAAGCCAAACAAAAACCAAUUUUAAUUUUUUUUCAAGAAAUUUUCGUUUUUGUUUGGCCUAUUAGCGGGGUAAAUCAAAACAAUUUUUUUUUACAGGGGUAAAUCAAAACAAAUUUUUAUUAUGCAUAAUAGCUGAAUGUUGUUUGGAUAGUUUUUUAUCAAAAUUGCUUUUGAAUGUAUAAUUACUAAAAUGGACAUAGCUAAAUUCAAGUAAAUGUGCUUAGUCAAAUGUAUAUGUAGAUCAAUACUAAAUGUAGAUAUAUUAUUUAAUUUAAAUAAAUAAAUUUUCUAUAUAUAUUAAUUUAAAACAUAAUAAAUACGAUCAUUAACCUAAUUUUUUUACUAAAUAUUUGUUCGUAUAUUUUAUAUUUUUUGAUAAAAUAUAUUUAAGUUAAAUAAUACUAGAGUUAGUUGCCAAAAAUGAUAAAAUAUAGCGUAAAAGAAAUGUAAAAGAAAAAAAUACAGUAAAUUUGAAUGGGGACACCGUAAAGAAAAAUUCAAAAUUUGGUAAGUCAUGACCAUAAACAUUUUUCGGGGGCUAAUUUGGUUCGUUCAGUUUUGUAAUUAAAUUUGGUUCAUCAAGUUAAAUUACAAAGCAAAAAGAAGGAAAUUGAUAAAGGGCAAUAAAGGAAAAUAAUAGGUUGUAAUAAUCAAAAUAGAAAAUUUAAUGUAGAAUUGAUUCUAGAAAAGCUAGAAGCUAGGAUUUAUAGCUUUAAGGAUAAUUGCUUUUGGAGGAUAGAAUCAAUUCUUAAAAGCUAAACCAAACACCAUUAAAAACUCAGUUUUUCACUUUUGAAGGUUGUAGAAUCAUUUCUUGAUGUUGAAAAGCCAAACCAAACAGGCUCAAUGUAAAUAUAUGCCAUUAAAAAAAAUAGUAAUUUUGAUUUUUUUAGGAGAGUAAUUUUGAUCUGCCUGUUCAUAUAUAUUCGAUAUACUAUAAUUUGAAUGAGCAAGUUGGAUGAUGUAAUUCAAAUAUUCCACCUUUUCAACUACCUUGAGGUAAAGUAUUUGUGGUAUAACCAACUUUAACACAAUGUGUUAUUUGGUUGGCAAUUUAAAACUUCUAGUAGUUCUUAGACGUGUGCAUUUUCCCACAAAUGUACUACAAGUGCUGCAUAGAUAUUAUCAAAAAAAGGAAAAAAAAAGUGCUACACAGAUAUGAAAAACUAUUAGAGAUUGUGAUAGAUGUGAAAGAAAUGGAGUUUAAGAUAUUGAAAAAACAGUUCUAACUCGUUUAGAUGAAACGACGUAUAUCUCUUAUAAUUUAACUAAAGUCGUGGGUUCGAAUCCAAUCUUAUACAUAUAAAAAUGUUUAAACUUUUAUGGAGAGUUUACUGCUCAUUUGAAUCCCAUAAAGAUUGAAAUAUUAGUAUCCACGCGCUAAGGAUAACCGAUUUGUGUGGGAAAAAAUAUUGAAAAUUACUAAACGAAUUUAUCCACUAAUAUAUUAUGUAAUAUGAUUAAGGUAAAGAGCUCCUGAACUAUAUAUAUAAUUACAAAAUAAAAGUGUGUGUAUUUUUUAAGAAAAAUGCUAAAGUGCACGCGACUUUUUUUAAAAUCUAUACUAUUUCAUGCUUUUGAUAAUAUUAAUUAAAAGAUAAUUAAAUACCACUAAAAUAGGAACCACAUCAAUAUACAAGAGAAAUGGCACACGAAUCCUCUCCCGCAGGGUUCUCUCCUUCAAGCUCUUCUGCACUAUUCACAGGCCUUGGAUCAAUCUGAUGGUUGAGGGACAAAACACGUAAAACAAUUAAAAAGUGAUAUACUAUUUACUUUGACUUUGUUUUAACCGUCUCAGCUUUUGCUACAUGAGCACUCCCUUUGGUCUCUCAAUUUUAGAUUUCUUUCUUUAUCCUGUUACGUAUCUGAUUAUGUAUAUGUCAUGAAUAUCAUUGGUAAACAAAAGGUUUCUUGAAUGCUAUUAGUUGUCCUCACUGCUCCCAAAAUAAAAACACAUGAAUGCAAUCAAGUUAACCAUGUAAUUUGAAAUAACUUGUUCAGUGUGAUGUUGACCUCUUAACUCAGGCCCCCUCUAGGGUGGGAGGGCUUAAUAGGUCUCUCACCAUGAGCAACUCAAGAAAACAAUUUUUAAUGGUUAGAUGUUAAAAUUCUAUGAUUCUUAGCAUACACAGACAACACUUAAUAUUUUUUUAUUUAAUUCUUAUUUCCGUAUCCUAUUUCCUCUCCAGCUAGAACCUUCUCUCCUCUUCAUCUUGAUUAAACUAACAAAUUUUUAUUGUCUAGAAUCCAGAAAUUUCUAAAACAAAAUUCUCUCUCCUCUUCAUCUUAAAUUUAUGAAAAACAAAAAUUACUGGACAAAAAUCUACUUUGUAACAAAACAACAACCAGACCCAUAAUUUUUUAUCUAUUGAUUUGAUUUCAAAGCUUUGUGUUACUCUGAUUAGCCAACCGCAAACAAUGGUGGAGUUUGAUGAAUCUCUUACUGGAAUGACAGAUCUUGAUAACCCCAUUCAUACCAACUGUAAAAUCCAGCAUGUCAAAGACUCAAAUUUUUGGUUUUCAACCCCUCAAAUAACCUCUCAAACAUUCUUCAGACUUUCAAUCAAACUAUAGAUGUUGAUGAUUAUAGAUUUUGAUUUUUUUCAUGAAAAUUGCAUAUUUCAAUUUUUUGUAUGUUUAUUGCCGAGUUUAAAUUUUUGUAGGGCGGUGUGUUUAAUUAAUUUUACUGGAGGAGAAAAAUCAUAUGUUGAAGAAGGUGGUUCACUAUUUUUGUUCGUAUUAUAAUUUUUAAAUAACAUAACCAUGUUAUUCAAACCCAGGAAUGAAGAUGAAAAGAGAGGAGACAUAGAAGUUAAUUAAACUACUGAUAGUACAUGAUAAGGGUUUGUGUGACGUUGCCAUCUAGCUGUCUAUCAAACUCUCGCACCGUGCGAGACCUAAUAAGCUUGCACACGCUAGCAUCCGCCCUUAACUCAAACGAUUUAUACAUACAUAUCGGUGAUAACGCAAGACUAUUAGGAUUGUGUUAUUAUUAUUAUUAUUUUUAGGAAUUAAGUUUGUGUUCUAUUUUGGGUUAGAUUUUUUAUUAUUCCAAUCAUACCUUUAAAUUUUUCUAUAAUAAAGAUAUAUUGUUGGUCUCAUGGAAAAGAACAAGAGUUUAAAUGUCACAAAUCUAUAGAUAUAAUUUUAAUCAAAAUUUAAAUUUCACAAAAAAAUGGUUAUAUAUGUUACCUCAAUUUUCUCGGCGGUGAUUUCGCCAGAAGGUUGGUUUCAUGGUGCGUUCUGUGUUUUCCUGUGGUUGUGCCGACAACUUCGAUUUUUCCAGAUCAUAGCCGUCGCGACGUGGUUCUCGUAGAUCUGUAUCCCCUUUGUUGUUGUGGUGGUUUUUGAGGCGGUUGGCGGUGGUGUUUUCUUCCGACGCGGUGGUGGUCCUGGAUUUGUCCUUUGCUCCGAUCUGAAAUCUCCCAAGUCUGUUGGUGGUAAAGAGAUGGUGUUGUGGUUUUGGUGGUCUUGGUACCGCACGGCUACUCUCACCAGAUCCGAACUCUUCAUCGAAAUUCGCUACUCCGUCUCCCCCACUGUGCUACAUCCCAGUUCAAUCGCAUCCGGUCCGUCACCAUCAAAGGCAAACUUCAGGCAUGGUGGUGGAGGUGUUGUUUGGUUUGGAGGUAUUUUUUAGAGGUGGUGGUGCUGCUUUUUAGUGGUAUGGUGGUGAGAUGGUGGUGGUUUGCGGUGAUGUCGUGGUGGUGGUGCUUUUUCCUUGUCACCGGCGGCUGCCUUUAUAUGUUUGGGUUGUGUUUCCAUUUCAAACCGGCGUUGCUGCCCGAAUUUUGUUAAUGGUUUUCGUCUUCUCUAGAUAUGUGUUUGUGUGGCCGUCUAUUGACGAGGAGAAGUGGUGGUGGUGGUGGUAUGUUUUUGAGGUGGUGGUGUAACACCUCGUUUUCCCAACUUAAAAAUUUUAUUUAAAUAAUCAGAGUUUUCCACAUAAACGGAAUGCUACCUUCAUAAAAUCAUAAAUAAGAUAAUUAACUAAUUAUCCUUCAACAUAAAUCAAAUUCCAAAACAUUGCAGCGGAUUAAAUUCAUCAACAUAAAUAAGUCUUGGCAAGUUACUCAUACGAAGAACAACAUUUCCAAGCAGAAGGUGUGAGAUUUCACAAAACAAUAAUAUUAAACAUAUAAUUCAACAAUUAUAUUUAACAACAUAAAUAUCAUCAAUUAAUAAUAAUAUAAUCAACAACAUAAAUCAUCAUCUUAUAAUAACAUAAACAUAACAAAGCAACAACAUAUUCAUCAUUAUUCCAUGGUUUGUCAUCAACAACAACUUCAACGAUUCAACAACGACAGCGUCAAUCUGACAAUAUAGCUACAUGAGAGUACACCACCUCUUAUAAUACGACUACGUAAGAGUACACCACCUCUUAUAAGACGACAACGUAAGAGUACACCACCUCUUAUAANUAGAGGUUACGACACAUUUGAAAGAAGUUACUAUAGAUGGACUGUUGAAGCUGAAAAAGUUAUGGAGUGGAGAUCCUGAAGGAAUUCUUAGUUUUCGAAAUCUAAUAAAUGUACAACUAGUUAGUUGUAGAAGCUUGGAGUAUCUAUUACCACUCUCCGUAGCCACUCGUUGCUCACAUCUCAAGGAACUUGGUAUAAAAUGGUGUGAAAACAUUAAGGAAAUUGUUGCAGAGGAGAAAGAAUCUAGCUUGAGUGCAGCUCCCAUAUUUGAGUUUAAUCAACUAAGUACUUUAUUGCUUUGGAACUUACCUAAACUCAAUGGUUUCUAUGCUGGAAAUCAUACUCUAGCAUGCCCAUCUUUGAGAAAAAUCAAUGUCUCUAGAUGUACAAAGUUGAAAUUGUUCAGAACACUAUCUACAAGAAGCUCCAAUUUUCGAGAUGACAAACCCUCUGUUUUAACGCAACCACCACUUUUCAUUGCUGAAGAGGUACGCAUGAUAAACACUCUGCAGGACUUGUUUUUUAUUUUAUUUUACAUUAAGGAGUUAGCGUUAUUCUUUAAUCUUUUGAAAUACCGAUCAACUACUUCCUCCGAUCCUAAAUAUAUGAAAAGUAUCUUUUCUUUAGGUUCCUUGAAUAAUUAAUGUAUUUGAACUAUACUAUAUAAACUAAAUACAUCAUUUAUUCAAUGAACUUAAAAAUAAAAAUUUCUCUUAUAUUUAGGACCAUGAGUAUAACUAUUCAUUUAUAAAUUUGGAAAAAUUUAAAACAACCCAAAAACUUUAUAAAAAGACAAAUCAUAUUUAAUGUCAAAAGUUAUUAAAAUAUUUUACAUUAUAGAUAUACUCCCUACGGUCUCGAAUGUGAGAAACAAAACAAAAAAAUUGAUGGUCUCAAAUAUAAGCAAAAAUAUAUAAAAUUCGUUCUAUUAAAUGUUUCUAUUCCAAUCUCACCCUCAUUAACUUUAUUUAAUUUGUUUCAUAUUUCCAUGUUUAACACUUUCUAAAGAUUAUUCAUUGGUUUAGUUCAAAAGUCAUGUUUUCUCGUAAAAUGUUUCUAUCAUUAAUAUCUGAAUGUGUACUACUUGAGAAAUAACUCCAGAACAAGGGGAAAAAAAAUAGAAAAAUGGUAUUUUUUUUUUUAUAAUGACUUAAAUACAGUCAUUCCACUUUCUUCGUAGGUGUGCCUUUUUUUUUCCUUACAUUCAAGAUCGGAAGGAGUACUUGAUAAUUUCUAUAACAAAAAUACUCCCUAAGUUCCUUUUUAAGUGUCACUUUUGGAGAAAUUUUUUGUUCCUAUUUAACUGUCACUUUCAAAGUUCAAUGUAACAUUAAAUGUUGUUUUACCAAUAUUAUCCUUAGUUAUUUAUUGUGGAGAGAGAAAUAUAUGAAAUGAGAUAUUAAAUUAAUAAAGUCAUUAUAGUAAAAGUAUAGCUUAUUGCAUCCAAAGUAGUAUCAAUUAUUGAUUGUCUUGAUUUAUGUAAAAUGUCAAAAUGUGAUAAUUAAAAAGGAACGGAGGUAGUAACAACUAGCAAGAGUGGCAUUUAAAUACAAAAUUGAUAAUUUCCAUAAAUUGAUAUAUUUUAGUAUAAAAGAAAUUGAAAAAAGUACAGAGAUAUUGGCAAAAAUUAAAAAGACAAAUUUUAGUCAAUAGUAAUUAUUGUUUCACUCAAUAAUAAAAUGUUUAAUUCUCUUACAUUGUUGUUUAAAUAUGUUUUAGGUGAUUCCAAACUUGGAGCUGUUGAGGAUGGUACAGGCGGAUGCUGACAUGAUAUUGCAAACCCAAAACUCAAGUUCCCUCUUUUGCAAAAUGACCUAUCUUGGAUUGGCUAGCUAUAACACCGAGGAUGCUAGAUUUCCUUAUUGGNGUGGAAUUGGAAACAGCACAAGAGUGUAUUUGAAAUCAACAUAUAAUAGGCACUUUUUAACAAUUAACGCCCCUUAUAUCAAUCAGUGGUCACAUAAUCCCAAUUUCAUAUCUCAAAGUCUUCGUUAAUCUAACUAGUGAAUAUGGCUAAACGGCAAUCAAAGACAACAUCCAUCGUUCACAUAGCAACCUUGAACAAACAGUGACACGCAACAAUCCAGAACACACUAGCUAGGAGAGAAUUGAAUAUCACGACAUAAUAAACAACAAUACAAACAAAAACCAAGAACACAAAUAAUCACAUACCCAAAUUUGCACAUAAAUUAAGGGCAUAAAAUUCACCAAACAAAAUCAUCAAUUCAUCAAUUCAACAUUUAAAUGUAAGCUAGAUCAAAAGAAAAGUGAUUACGAGAAUAAGUAUCCAACCCCCUUACCUUAAGAAAAUCGAUCGGCAGCUCUCUCUUGGUUCUUCUCUCAUCUUGUUCUCCCUUCUUCCCCAAAACUGGUUGUACGUGAAAAUAAUUCUAAACCUAGUUUCUCCUAUUUAUCUCUUUCCAUCUAUUUUAUCUUAUUUCCACUUUAACCACUAAAUUCCCUAAAUCCUCAAAACAGCCCCACAACUUAAUCUUAUUUCUAUUUUCAAGACUUAUUCUAAUAAAUAAUAAAAUAACAAUACUUAAUAAAUAGCUACACACCACUUAAUCCACAUAAUAAUAUAAAAUCAUAUAUAAAAAGACUUUAAAUCAACCAAUAAUAAAUAAAUAAAAUUGGGGUCCAUAACCGCAACUUUUAAAAAAUGUUACCAAACACACCCAAAGUCGAUUAUAGAGCACUAGCUAGCUACUAACAAUCUAUCCACUAACUACCAACAACUGAUAUUUCUUUUGACUAGACUAAUUUUAAAAGAAAGCAUUAGAGAAAAAUAUUAUUAUCCUUAUUUUUUUUGACCGAAUUAUUAUCCUUAAUUUAAAAAAUGAAUAGAAUUGUUAAAAUGAGUUUUACAUUAAUUAGUGUGUAAAAAACUAUUUUGUAAAUGCAUUCUAUUUUACUGCUAUGUUUGUGGAACUAACUCGCAAUACAAUUGUUUUCACAGGUGGGAUUUGGUAGUUUCAAGCAUUUAAAACUAUCUGAAUAUCCCGAGUUAAAAGAGUUGUGGUAUGGUCGACUUGAGCAUAAAGCAUUUAGGAGUUUGAAACAUCUAGUGGUUCAAAAAUGUGAUUUUUUAUCAGAUGUUCUCUUUCAACCUAACUUGCUAGAAGUGCUGAUGAACCUGGAAGAAUUAGAUGUGGAGGAUUGUAAUUCAUUAGAAGCUGUUUUUGAUUUGAAAGAUGAAUUUGCCAAAGAAAUUGCGGUGCAGAGUUCUUCUCAACUGAAGAAAUUAAAACUAUCUAAUCUUCCAAAACUGAAGCAUGUAUGGAAAGAGGAUCCACAUUACACUAUGCGGUUUCAAAAUUUAAGUGAUGUAUCUGUGGUGGGAUGCAAAAACUUGAUAAACCUCUUUCCACUCUCAGUGGUUAAAGGUAUGUUGCAACUUCAAAGUCUUCGAGUAAGUAAAUGUGGCAUCCAAGAAAUUGUUGCCAAGGAAGAUGGAACAGAAGAGAUAGUUAAAUUUGUGUUUCCACAAUUAACAUCCAUUAUACUUGAACAUUUGCCAAAACUUAAGGCAUUCUUUGUUGGGGUCCAUUCUCUUCAAUGUAAAUCAUUGAAAAAGAUCGAUUUGUUUGGAUGUCCAAAAACUAAGCUAUUUCAGGCGGAGCCUUUGAGACACCAAGAAAGCUCAAGAAUUGAUGAGCUCAAUAUCCCUGAAUAUCAACCUCUUUUUGUGAUUGAAGAGGUAAGUGCAGCGUUAAAUAUCAUCCUUGCAUUGAACAUACAUGUACAAAUUUGAACUGUUUUUCAUUGUUUUGUUAAUUUGAAGAUAAAUUAUUCAACAUGUCUAUUGCAACAGGUACUUGCCAAUGUGGAGAGUUUGUCUUUGAACAAAAAAGUUUUUGGCAUGAUAUUGCAGAGCCAAUAUUCUGGGGUUCAGUUCAACAAUGUCAAACACAUUACCGUGUGCGAAUUCUACAAUGAGGAAGCUACUUUUCCAUAUUGGUUCUUGAAAAAUGUUCCUAAUUCCGAAAGCUUGUUAGUCCUAUGGAGUUCCUUCAUGGAGAUAUUCCAAGGCGAACAAAUCAUAAGAACGGAAAAGGAACCUGAAAUUAGCCUACGACUCAGAUAUUUGGCUUUAGUGCAGCUGCAUAAGCUUAAAUGUAUAUGCAAAGAAGGAUUUCAGAUAAACCCCGUUCUACAGAUGCUUGAAAGUAUAAUUGUGUAUCAGUGUUCUAGUCUGAUAAUGUUAGUUCCAUCCUCUGUUACCUUUAGUUAUUUGACCUAUUUGGAGGUAACAAACUGCAAUGGGUUGAAAAAUUUGAUAACACACUCAACAGCAAAGAGUCUUGUCAAACUCACAACAAUGAAGAUUAAAAUGUGUAAUUGGCUUGAGGAUAUAGUGAACAGUAAAGAAGAUGAGACAAACGAGAUUGUAUUUUGCAGUUUACAAACUCUAGAACUAAUUUCUUUACAAAGACUCGGUCGAUUCUGCUCAUGCCCAUGCCCCAUUAUGUUUCCGUUGCUGGAAGUUGUAGUCAUCAAAGAAUGUCCUCGAAUGGAACUUUUUUCAUUGGGAGUUACCAACACAACAAAUCUUCAAAAUGUACAAUCUGAUGAAGGAAAUCAUUGGGAGGGUGACCUCAACAGAACCAUAAAGAAAAUGUUUUGUGAUAAGGUAUAUUUUAUUAUCAUCCAUCAAUUUAUUUACUUUGUGUAAGUUUAAGAAAAUCUAUCUAGAUCAAUUUUGUAUUGUAGUAGACUAGAAUAUUAAUGCAUACUUAAAGAUUUCUUAAAAGCAAUUUUGAUUUGUCUUUUGAUUUAUUUAUUUGAAUGAUCAGGUUGCAUUUGGUGAAUUCAAGUACUUAGCCUUAUCUGACUAUCCUGAGCUAAAGGAUGUGUGGUAUGGCCAACUUCAUUGCAAUGUGUUCUGCAAUUUGAAACAUCUUGUCGUGGAAAGGUGUGAUUUUUUAUCACAUGUACUUUUUCCAUCAAAUGUAAUGCAAGUGCUACAGACAUUGGAAGAACUAGAAGUAAAAGAUUGUGAUUCAUUAGAAGCAGUGUUUGAUGUGAAAGGUAUGAAGUCACAAGAAAUAUUGAUAAAAGAAAUCACUCAAUUGAAAAGAUUGAGUUUGUCUACUUUACCCAAAUUGAAGCACAUAUGGAAUGAGGAUCCUCAUGAAAUUAUCAGCUUUGGAAACUUACACAAGGUGGAUGUUUCUAUGUGUCAAAGCUUGUUAUAUGUCUUUCCAUAUUCACUAUGCCCAGAUCUUGGACAUCUUGAAAUGCUUGAGAUAAGUUCUUGCAGAGUCAAGGAAAUUGUUGCAAUGGAAGAAACUGUAACAAUGGAAAUUCAAUUUAAUUUCCCCCAAUUGAAAAUCAUGGCACUGCGUCGUUUGUCAAAUCUCAAGAGUUUCUAUCAAGGAAAACAUACUUUAGAUUGCCCUUUAUUAAAGACUUUUAAUGUAUAUCGUUGUGAAGCAUUAAGAAUGUUUUCUUUCAGCAAUUCAUACUUUCAACAACCUUACUCGGUUGAUGAAAAUCAGGCCAUGCUAUUCCAACAACCCCUGUUUUGUAUUGAAAAGGUAAAUUCUGCCAUACCUUGUUUUUCUUUAUUUGUAUGUGUAAUAAUACGCUAGUAUUUAUUUACAUUUUGGAUGUUUAUUUUUCAGUUGAGUCCCAACUUGGAGGAAUUGGCAGUAAAUGGCGCAGAUAUGUUGGGGAUAUUGAAUGGUUAUUGUCAAGAAAAUAUUUUUCAUAAAGUCAAAUAUCUUCGUUUGCAAUGCUUCGAUGAAACUCCAACUAUUCUUCUGGAUGAUUUCCAUACAAUAUUUCCUAAUUUUGAAACAUUUCAAGUGCGUAAUAGUUCUUUUGAAACAUUGUUCCCCACUAAAGGAACCACAAGUUAUCUUAGUUUGCAAAUGUCAAAUCAAAUAAGAAAGUUGUUUUUUUUUGAAAUGGAAAAGCUAGAACACAUUUGGCAGGAAGACUUUCCACUGAAUCAUCCUCUGUUCCAAUAUCUUGAAGAUUUACGUGUACUGAAUUGUCCAAGUUUGAUAAGCUUGGUAUUAUCUUCGACAUCUUUCACAAAUUUAACCUAUUUGAAAGUGGACAACUGCAAAGAGCUCAUCUAUUUGAUACCAUAUUCAACAGCUAAAAGCCUAGUUCAACUCAAAACAUUAAUAAUAAUGAAUUGUGAGAAGAUGUUAGAUGUUGUGAAGAUUGAUGAAGAAAAAGCAGAGGAAAACAUCGUAUUUGAAAACUUGGAAUACUUGGAAUUUACUUCAUUGUCAAGUUUGAGAAGCUUCUGUUGUGGUAAACAAGCAUUCAUAUUCCCAUCUUUGCUCAGUUUCAUCGUUAAAGGAUGCCCUCAAAUGAAGAUCUUCUCAUCUGCACUCACAGUAGCACCAUGCCUCACAAAAAUUAACGUGGGAGAAAAAAAUAUGCGAUGGAAAGGUGAUCUUAACAUAACGAUUGAACAAAUGUUCAAAGAAAAGGUACACAAUAUUUAUGAAAGUUGUUUACUUUAUUAUUCUCAUAAUUAAACAAGGCUCACAAUAUUUAUUUGGUGCAUGUUUGUACGGUGACUUUGAAAUUAAUUAUGGAUUUACUACAAAGUUCCAAGUUCUUGAAAAGAAAAUUUAAAUAGCUUAUAUAUAUCCUAUUAUUUUCAUUCAUUUACUUAGUUUUUUGGUUCAUUCUAUUUUAUUUUCCUUAUACUUGAAAGUUUAGCACUAUAACAUAGUUUGAGAUAUCCAAAUUCAAUUAUCUAAUUUGCUAAAAAAAGUUAUAGUGAGAAAGUCUAAUCAAACUAUAUAAACUGUCUAAUCAUUUUAUAAAAUAUGUUUCAUACUUUAUUUAAAAAUAUAUAGUUUUAUUUGUGAAAAAUCAAACUAUAUAUAAACUGUCUAAUCAUUUUAUAAAAUAUGUUUCAUACUUUAUUUAAAAAUAUAUAGUUUUAUUUGUGAAAAAUCAAACUAUAUAUAAACUGUCUAAUCAUUUUAUAAAAUAUGUUUCAUACUUUAUUUAAAAAUAUAUAGUUUUAUUUGUGAAAAAUCAAACUAUAUAAAUUGAUCUAGUCAUUUUAUGUACUUCGAAAUUAAAAGAGUGAAUAAUGAAUUUCUUGAGCAAACGUUACCAAAUAGUUAGGGGUUGAUACUUGAUAUACUUGUUAAUUAAUUAAUGUUAAUUUUAACAGGAAGUCUCGCAUUCUAAUUAAUAUGUUGAAUGAGACCAUCAUCUAUCCUCACAUUUGCAAGGUACCAAAUACUAAAUUCUUCUCUUUUCAAACAUUUUAUUUUUUCAUUAGGAAAUUAUUGUCUUUCAUUGUGGAGUGUUUUGUUCAUCCUUGACUGAAAUUUUUGGAAUACAUUUUGUUUUUUAUUAAGGUUGAAAUAUAUUUUUUUGUUUGAUUUAAGUUUACCAAAUUUAUUCUUAAAAAUAACAUUCACUAGAAUAUAAAGAUGUGAAUUUUAUUUCAAGUAUUUAGAAAAAAGGUGUUUCGUGAACACUAUAAUAUUCCCCGGAACCUUAAGAAUAGGGAUUAUAAUAAAUAGUUACACCUGAUUUAUUCUCAUCUUUCUGGAAACUUUAUUUCCACCCUUUUCUUUGGGAAAUUUUUUCUAUUCCCAAGAACAUUUUAUACUCGUGAAUAAAAUUUAGUAAACUUGUAACAAACACAGACAUGUAUAUUUCUAUCAUUGUAUCCCAAAAAUCUACAAAUAUAAUUAGAAACAAACACACCCUAGUCCUUAUAAAUUUACUUUUUUUUAUUUUUAUUUUAAUCUCUAUAAAAAGUAGUUUUUAUUUGUCUCCGUGAGUUUAACUGAUCAGUUGGUAGGGAUAUAACAUAAAUAUAAGCCAGAUUUCAAACUCCUAACACCCCACUUAUUUACAUAGGUGAAUUUGCCACUAUACUACUUAACCAAAAAAUAAAAAAAUAUCUUUUGUUUAUUUAAUUUUUAGUCCUUCGAAUUUUUUUUUUCUUUUUAUCCAACUUUUUUUUUGUUUUGAUACUUGCAAAAUACGAUCUUUUUGAAAUCAUUUGUAAUACUCAUUUUAGUCUUUAUUUUGAGGGUUAAAAUCAAAUAUAUGACAUAUUAUGAGGACUAAUUUUAAUAUAAUAAAUUUUGUAAGAAGUAAAAUAAAACAACUAGAAUCAGAAGAAAAGGAGGGAUAUCUGCAAGGACUAAUAAUUUUUUAUUUUUUUAAAAAGGAAAAUUACAGAGACUUAUAUCUAAAAUGUAGAUAUUUUUGAGGACCGUUUUCUUUUUUAAAUCUAUUAUUAAUAAAAUUAAUUAUAUGUUUUCUUGACGAAAAAAUUAAAUAUAAGUUAAUCCAUUUGACCUUGUUGCUUUAGAUAAAUUAGUUUUGUUUUCCUGUAAAAAAUAAGCUUCACUCUUUUUUAAAACAAAAACUAAUAUUAAUAAGCACAGCUCAACAUAAAAUAUGCUAAGAUAUACCCUUCAUAUUGGGAUGGAGAAAAAGUUGGUAUUUAUGAAUAUCUGCGAUGGAUAUGGGACAGAUAGUUUAACAAGUAUCAACAGACUGCAGAUAAAAUAAAAUGAUAUUUUAAUUACCCAUUAGUGUAUUUACCCGGCGUUGCCCGGGUUACAUAUAUUCAAGAAGAUAAAAAACUUAUAUGUAUGAUAUCUACAAAUAAAAUUUAUCACGGAUUGGUAUAUGAUGAAUAUCUUAAUAAAUAAAUACACACAAAUAUGAUAAAAUAUAUCAUAUUAUAAAUACUCGUAAAUUUAUAGAUGCACAUACAGAUAAAAUUAAUUGGAUUUAGUAAAAAUACUAACAAAUAUAGAAUAAAAUUAACUUUUAGGAAUUUGUGUUAUUUCUGUUAAGAUAUUUCUGUUACAUAAAAUAUUAGGAAUUCAAUGAAAAAGUUAAGUAAAAUAUUAAAUAGAUAAGAUCAAAAGUUUGUUGAAAUAUUUAUUCCAAUUCAAAUAUUGCGUUAAAAAAACCUUACUUUAUAUAUAUACUAUUGAUUGAUUGAUUGAUUGAUUGAUUGAUGAUUUAUAGUCGAAGGGUAUCGUAUGUAAUCUAUUGAGAUAUUUCUGUUACAUAAAAUAUUAGGAAUUCAAUGAAAAAGUUAAGUAAAAUAUUUAAUAGAUAAGAUAAAAAGUUUGUUGAGAUAUUUAUGCCAGAUUAAAUAUUGGUUUUAAAAAAUAGACUAAUAAUAAAAAUAUUGCGAAUAAAUGUGGAAGUGAUACGUGGCAUAAAAACCUUAAUUUAUAUAUACACUAUUGAUUAGUUAGUUGAUACAAAUGAAAAUAUAAUGGUAUCUAAGGUAGCCAAACAUGACAACAUAACAUACAACCACUACUAAAAAGUAAUAUUAGUUAUGGAAAAAAUAUAAUUUCUCACAAAUUCUUUGGUCGCAAAAUUUAGUGACGGAAUUAGAGAGGGAUUUCACGUUUUCCCUCUCUAAAAUUCCCUCACUAAUUUUUGCUUUUUUAGCAGUGAACCAAAGUUGACACACAUGGAACAUAUUGUGGCCAUUAGUGUAGAAUGGUGUGGGAAUGCAACCUAAGCAUCAACUUCUUGUCUUUUCUUGAUGAUCAAAAAGGGGCACAACCCCUAUAGUGGAGUCUUAUCUUGCAUUUGCUCUUAUAGACAACUUUAUAUUGUGUCAUCCCAAUCUAGAAUGAACACAUUUUAGUAUGUGAACUCUAUGAGGGGAAAGAACUUACCCAACUGCCAUCUUCCUCCAAGGUGUAACUUGCAUAAGUGUUCGCUCGUUCUUCUAGAGAUUGAAUUUUUGUAAGUAUGGCAACCUUUUUAUGUUCCUACAAACACAACCACGUGAUAAAAAGUGAAAUAACACAAUCAUUGUUAUGAUCGACCAUGUCGAUAAAAGAAUAAUAACAACAAUGCUCUCAUAUAGAUCCACUCGAGUCACUAAAUGAGCAUUAUUAGGGCUUGAGUCACCCUAUACAUAUUAUUGUUGCUAUUUUACUCUUAACUCUUCCCAAUAUAGACUGAAUCUUUCCCCACCCGAAUUCCAAGUGUUUGGCUAUAAGUCAAGCAAGCUUCUCUUUCCAUCUGAGAGUAUCUAUUGCAGUCAAGAAGUAAUUACACAUCUAUAGAAACUUCUAAAACUUCGUUGAUAGCUCUGGAAAUAUCCAUGCUUACAUCUUUAAGACCUAUAUUUUAUCUCAAGUCCAAUAAGAGUAUAAAUUAGUUGAUGGAUAAUACUAAGCCUUAUAUGACAAUAUAAUGAGAUAUAGUAUAGAUAGUAAGGGUAAAAACCCUCAUUAAGAAUUUGAAUUUUAAACGAGCAUUACAACGACUUAUUUAAUGACUAAUUAAAGUUGAAAACAAUAAAUGGACAUAAUAAUAUGGUUAAGAUAAGGGCGAGAAUUGUUUGAUUAAGUCAUUAUAAUAGUGAAUGUGACAAAUGGCAAGUAUGAUUCCCACGUUGUUCAGAGUUGGCCAACUAACAAACUGUAUUUAGUCUUUUAAUGAGUUAAUUGUGAUAUUUGUUAAAUUAGGAAUUAAAAUAAGGAAUUAGACCCAUUAAUAGGUUGUUGCGUUUAUAGUUGAAUUAUGCAUUGACAUGAAUGAUAGAUGUUGUAUAAUUUCCUAUAUGUGAACAUUGCUGCUAAGUGUUGUUUUGAACUUGAAUAGUACUAUUGUGAUAUGUGGGUAAAAUAUUUGAUAAUAGUGCAAUGUGAGAGUGAAUAAUGUAAAUGUGUGUUGUAAAUAUGUGUUGUAAAUAAGAAGUAUUUUGUUGAAAUAUGCAUUGUGUACUAUAUGUGAAUUGAGAUAACCCGUCUCUAACUAAUGAUGGUGCUAUAUUUGCGGAGUGACUUGGGCUAACAAGGGGGGAGAGGUGUGUCGUAUGGUCAAAUACUCAAUAAAGUGUUGGUUAUAUUGUAAUCAUAUAGGUAGGGUUUGACAAACUUAAGUGUUAGGGAACAUAUACUAGUGGUGCCUAAUAGUUAGGGCAUACUUGUUAGAUCAUAUGACUACAAUGAAGGAAAUUUUCCUAAGUUGUUUAGUGGGUAAAUCCCUAAUUUAGGAGCUUACGUGCAACCACUGUGGAUUUUUGCGUGUCGCGUAAAUGAAUUUUGGGUCGAGUUGAGCAAGUAUAUGAGGACUUGAAUGUGAUUGUCUCUUACAAGAGCAUACUGCCACGUUCCUUGCCAUUUUUUUUGUAGUUAGAUGGUACCAAGUGAAAUCGAAGUGUUACAGGAUUUGUGCAUGCAUGUGUCAUGUGAUUAAAUGUGUGCUCAUAUGAUCAAUGAUGUGUCCCUCGGAAGAAAACUUAUGCAUUGUGAAAUAGUUGAAUUAAUUUAUUUGUGUUUGUCUAAUUUAUUAGUAUACUUUAUGAAACUUGAUUACUCACCCAUUUUGUGUAUUUGUGUUUGGUGAUUGCGAUGAUGCACAGACGCAAGAAACAUGUGAGAAGUAGUGCCAAGGAGCUAUUUAUAUUGGCGUUUGAAAGACUUUCUUUAUUUUCUAUUUAUGCUGUUAUUUGAUUGGCUUGCAUAUCAAGUACCUUCUAUUGUAAUUUUACUCUCAUUGCUCUGGUGGGUAGCGUCGAAGGAUUCUUUUACUUUGUUACAUAUUUGUUAAUUGUCAUAUUCAAACAUGACAUUUUAGGUGGUGUUUCUGCGUGUUUGAUGGAUAUCACUCUUUUUAUUUCAAAAAACCGAACAUUUCUAUUUGGACAAAUGGUAUGUAUGCAUGCUAUGUCCUAAGCCUAUGUGCUAGUGUUUUGUGAAACUUUAUUAAAAGUUUCUAUUGGAAAUAUUGAAACUAUAUAAUUCAUAACAAUCAAAGACAAUCAUCUUCUCAUGUUUUGGCAAAGCUUAGCGACUUUUAUUUAUUUAUAGAAUUCUAUCACUCAUGACAUAAUUUCUUAGACAUAUUGCUUAGCUAUUUUAAUUUCUGAGCUUAUAAUUACCUUCCAUAAUUUCUGAGCUUAUAAUUUCUGAAAAUUCAAAGCUUAUGCAUAAUUCCUGAAAUUUGUUUUCAGUUCUUUUCAGUAGCACAAGAAUUCUUAGACAUAUUGUUUGGGUUUGUAGCCUCUGGAAUUAUAUAAUCCAAAAGUCACCUUUUCGUGUUUUGGCAAGCUUAGUAACAAUUUCUUAAAAAUUUCACACAUUCUUCAUCUGCCCAAUUGAUACCUUUAAUUGAAGGAUAUUCAGAUAUAAUUUGUUUCAAAGCAUUCCUCUUAAAUCAACAGUGUUGAAACGCCCUUAAAUCUUUUAUAUAGUGUACCCUUUUCAUUUCCAAUGGACUAGAAUGGGCCAUUGCUUCGUUAAAUAUAUAUUAUAUAAUAUAAGAUAAGCAGGUCCUUUAUGAACUUUUUGAAAAUGGUCAUUGUUAUUAAUUUAAAUGAACGGAAAGGCAAUUUUAAUAUGCAAUUAAUUUUAUCAUUAUUGUUGAGUAUGAAUUAAAAUCUGAUCAUUUACAAAAGAGACGAUUUUGGUAAAGCUGUUUUUGGUUGGCAUCUGCCUUAAGGGUGAGGCACAUGGGUUUGUUUCUGUAUUUUGCGCGAGGCACACACCCUAGUGCACAAUGCAUAUGCCAUGUGUGCGAGGCACGUCAAGCAAUGUCUACUUUUGUGUGAGGACGUCUACUUUUGUGUCAAUGUCGUGUCUGACACUGAUGCGUGUUCGACGUCGGGACACAACUAAUUUGAAGGAUGUACGUGCUUCAUUGAUCAUGCACAAUAUUUAUAUAAAUUAAAUGGAUCUUAUUUAAAUAAAUUGAAACAUCUAAAUUCGAAAGAUAAGAAUUUGAAUGGUUUUUCACAAUCAAACGGAUUUGGAUCCUUGUCGUCGGGAUGUUUUGCAUUUAGAUAUUCAUGGUCAUUCAAUCAAGAAUGAACGGUCAAGAUUCAAUCUUCAUUUUUACGAGCCAUCUAAUUUUGAUGCAACAACAACUGAUGUCCCGAAUGCAUGAAUUCAAAAAAUCCAAAAGGAGCUCUUUUUAAAUUGUAAAGUGUAGUUUUCUCUUUUCACUUUGUGACAGUAUGGUUAACAUAUUACAGAAAAAGCAUCGAAAAGUGGUUAACAAAAGCCAAAAUUUGUUUGUGUCCGGUAACAAAACAAUCAAAUGAAGCCAAAGUGGUUGAUCAUCAAAUUCAGUCUCCAAAAUCUCCUCUCAAUAGAAUCCAUCUCCAAAAACUUGUCAAGAACCUAGAGCUUCCUAAUUGAUUUCAAGCAUCAAUGGAGAAGAUUCUUGAAGUUGCUAAACAGACCGAGAGAAACAGAACAUGCAUGGUUAAAGUAGGUGUAACCAAAACUAUGAUUAUGGUCAUUAAAAAGAAAUUCAAACAAGGAAACACCAUUGGUUUGGAAGAAGCUUUGAAAAUUACUCGUCUUUUGUGGAAUGAAGCAACGAUCAACAAUAGUGUGAAACUUUUGGUUGGCAAAAACAUGGAUUUCAUGAAUUUGUUGACUUGGAUUUUGAAAAUUUACAUUGAUAACAACAACUUCGAGAUGGUAAAUGAAGUUAUGCCAGUAUUGAAGUUGACAAUUGAUGUUGUAGAUUCAAACCUUUUAAGAAAUUUAAACAUUGAAUUCUUCAUAACUUUCUCCAAACAAGCUAUUAAAUCAGUGUUACAUGUGCUUAUAGAGACAUGCCCGUUUGGGUGGAAGCCGAACGAGGAUCAUGGAAGCGGACGGAGUAACCAAACUCAUUGAAACUUAUCUAGCAUGGACUUUCACUAAGUAUGGACUUUCUGUAACGCUCUCUUUAAUUAUUUAAUUAUUUUAUAGAGUUUAGAGUUUACUUUGAUGAUUUAUGCGAUUUUAAUAUAAUUAUGUGUUUAGUUGUUAUUUUAUUUAAAGGCUUAUUUUAUUAUUUACUAGAAUAAGAUUUGAAAUUAAAUAAAUAUAGAGAUGUGGGGCUGUUUUGGAAUUUAGAAGAGUUUAGUGGAAAUAGAGGAAAUAAGAUAAAGUAGAUUGAGGAGAGAUAUAAAGAGGAAACUAGGUUUAGAAAAGUUUUCACGUAAAAACAGUUUUUGGGAGAAAAACCAAGAAAAAGCUAGGAGAAGAGCCAAGAGGGGAGAAUCUGAUUUUUGUAGAGCUUUGUUCAUCAAUUCAAGGUAAGGAUGAGGCUAACAUUCAGUAAUCAUAGUGUAUAAUUCUGAAUUUGUGAUUUAACAUAUUGUUGUUCUUAGGUUGGAUAAUUGGGAUUUAUGUUUUGAUUAUUGAUUUUUGAAUUGAAAAGUGUAGAAACCAUCGAAAUUGUGAUAAAGGAUGUUUAGAUUGUAGAUUAAUUAUAGUCUAAUGUUCCAAUCAGUUUUGGGGUUGGGUUAAUGGAAAUUGGGAUUUUCCCUUGAAAAGUCGGUGUCUAAACGUUUGCAAAUAAGCGAUUAUGUGAGGUUUUGGAAAUCGAUUUUUGGGUGGUUGAAACUUGAAUUUUUCUGUAGAUUAUGAUAAGGCUAAGUGUCAGGAGCGUGUAGGCGAAAACGACAUCGAAAAUGGGUUAACGGUUUGGAUUUUACGCGCGAAAACGUGAAAGUUAGAAAAUCUGAUGUUGUCUGUCGAGCAGAAAUCGGGCUACGAUUUUAGAAAUUGGGCUACGAUUUUGACCAUAUUUUGGGGUGUUUCAGCACGAAAAAAAUCGUACUACGAUGGGGAAAAAUCGGGCUACGAUUUUGCCUGACCAGGAACUUUUAAAAUGCAAUUUUCUUCACUCCAAUUGCUUCCAAACUUCUUCCUAAGUGUAGGGACUUUAUCCUAACCAUCUAGAGAUGUUUUUAGGAAAGAAAUAACGUUGUAUAAAGCGUCCAAUGAGUUCAUGAGUUGGUCCUUGGGGUAGGAAUGGAAGUUGUUUAUAAAAGUAUAGCCUUUCAGUGAAUCUAAGCUAAUUAAUAUAAUUGAUGUUGUUGGUUAAUUCAAGCUAUAUAUAUUAUGUGGAAAAUGUAUGAUAUAGAAAAUGUCGUUGUUUAUAUCAUUCAAGUUGUUGUUAUUAAUAUUGCUAUGUUGCAAGUUGCUUAUGUUGCUGUUGCUGCUGUUGUUGAUUAUUAAUAUCAUUGAGUUGACCAAGUUGUGGAGUAAGUCAUAAUUAUUUAUGCACAGUUGUUGUUGUCGUUGUCUACGUUGUCGUUGAGGUUGCUGAGUUGUAGUUUGAUAUACACAAAUGUGAGUCCAUUGCAUACUCAUUUAAGUUGAGGGCUUGAUGCCCUGUAAUGUAUAUUUAUACAUAUUAUGUUGAGGGCUUGACGCCCUGUAAGUUGAGGGCUUGAUGCCCUGUGAUUCUAUUUACGCUCAAUACGUUGGGGGCUUGAUGCCCUGGUUGGUGCCACAUGCAUGUAGUCGUUGUUGUUGUUGAUUAAGUUGUUGUUGUUGUUGUUGUUGUUGAGAGAGUUGUUGUCGUUGAUGAUUAAGUUGUUGUCGUUGUUGUUAAAUGAGUUGUUGUCGUUGUUGUUUUCGUUGAGUGAGUUGUCGCUGUUGUUGAGUGAGUUGUUGUCGUUGUUGUAAAAUCUUGUUGUUGUCGUCGUUGUUGGUUGAAUUAGUAAGUGUUACUAAAGUUAAAGAAGUAGGAACAUUAUUAUGAUGAUUUGUUGUUGUUUACAUUAUUAUAAGAUGAUGAUUAUGUUGUUAUAUGAUGAAUGUACAUUAUGUGAUGAAUAUGAUAUUAAUGUUGACUAGAAGUUGAUUGAUGAUUUAAUUAAGUACUAUACGAAGGAUUAUUAUUACUAAUUGAUGGAGUUUAAGUUGUUAGAUGCAUUUGAUGAAUUAUAUGCUUAAUAUUAUUGUUUAUGAAUCUCACCCCUUCUGCUUGGAAAUGUUGCCCUUCGUAUGGGUAACUUGCAGGUGAUCCAGAGUAGUUGCUGUUAUUUGCUGUUGUGAGUGGACUUUCCUCACAUGUGUCUUAGGGCUCUGAUACGUAACAGGAUGGGGAAACUUUGUCGUUGUAUUUUCAUCAUUCCUUAUGUAUCAUUAUGAACCUUUUGUUGGAUUAGAUCUUUAAGGAUAUUUAUGUUUAGGCCAUGUGCCAGAAUUUAUUGGAAGUUGUUUUAAUGUUGAAAAUAAUCCGCUACAAUGAAUUAUUAUGUUUUACCGAAGACUAUUACUUAAUAAAUAGUAUUUUAUUCUAUUUAUGGAUUUUUGAAAAGUAGUGUGACAUUCCGUUUGUUGAUUACUCUGAUUAUUUAAAUGAAAUUUUGAUGUUGGGAAAACGGGGUGUUACACUUUCUCUGUUAGAAACUUAUCUAGUUGGCUAAUUGAGUCUUCAGGUUAUUGGAUUAAAGGCCUAAUGAAUCACCAUUCUAUUGUUUCAUAUUAUUGGCACCAAAAUUUGGUUCCCUUAACUAGUUUACAUAUCUAUUUGAAAAAGAUAACUAAACUUUAAUUGUCAAAAAUUCUUACCUUAAGUGUAUCUGAGAAGAAUAUAUAUGGCAUUAUUGCUUCCACUUAUAUGACAGUCUUGGAGAUUCUUGAAGUCAGUUGGCUAUAUCUACAGCUUUGAACCUGUCUACUUGAUCUGUAUGAAGACAGAUGUUUACAAUUUCUCCAUAAUCUUUGAUACAAUUUUCCUUAAAAAAAUUCAACAGAGUAAAAUUGUAUAGAAAAUGUUGACAAGCAUCUACACGGCAUGCGUAUAAAUAUCAGCUCAAUCCACAUUGUAAGCCAAGUUUCAAACAUAUAUUGUCUCCGAUGCAUACAACACUUCGUUUUUUCAGAGCACCUUAGAAAAACAAAACUCAUUAACAAAUAAUUUCACUAAUUUGCAUCAAGAGAAUAAAAAUAAGAAUCUAAAAUAGAUGCACAUUGAUCGUAAGAAUGAAAACGAGGUUCAAUUUAAUCAAUGACACAUUAACAGAUAAAACAAAAGAGAACAUUGCCACAAUCAUUACACAAACAAACACAAACACCUAAUCAAGAUAAAAACUUUUUCACAUAAAAAGUACACCCCAUGAAAUUGAACAAAGCAAAGAUGUUAAAUCUACAAUCAAAAAUAAAAAGCCAACUGUAAAAACAGAAAAACUGAAACAUAAAAAGCCAACUAUUCAAAGCCAGAUGAUAAACGUAAGUUGAUUGGUUAGGAUCCAAUAUUUGCUAAAAACUUGUAACAGUAAUUUUACAUAAAUAAUAAACAAGCAAUUUCUGAAAUGCAAACUAUCUUCACUGACCAGCAAUCAAUGUCUCAUGUAUAGCUACAUUUGGAGCCUACGACCGAACUUUCAUAAUCCUUAAAUACUUCUCCGCAUCUUCAACCUUUCCAAAACGGAAGAAACACUGAAUCAUAGACGAAUAAACAGCAAAUCCAGGACACAGACUUAUACUGUAUUUCAUAAUAUAUCUUAAGAACUCCUUGAACUUUGUCCUUUCUCGCGUAACCAUCUAUCAAAUGUGAAUAAGUAAGAAUUACUCGUUAAAAAUCCUUUAUCUAACAACACAGGCAACAUAUCAUUUACCUUCUCCACUUCUCCAUUCUCACAAAGCUUCUCAGCCACCUUACCAAACAACAAAUAACCAAGAACAGACCCAGCAAUCAGCAUAUCUUUGAAAACACUCCAACACUCUUCCAACCGCCCCGAAUCCGCGUAUCCAACGAUAACACAUUCAUAAGUCUCACAAUAAGCCCUUAACCCCGUCUGCUUCUUCAAUUCGUCCCGUCUCACAAAACGCUCGUAUAAACGAGCUGUAAACAAACGAAUUCUCACUAAAACCUGUUUUCACCAUCUCAUUAUACAUCGCCAAAGCAAAAUCCAGAUCCCCUAACCUAACUUUAACAUGAACAAUCAAUGAAUAAGCAACAGAAUCACCAAUCAAAUUCUUCUGCAAUAAUCUCUUCAACAAUGUAACUAACUUAAAUAACUUCCCUUCUUCUCCCACCUUUUCCGACAUUCUCAAAAUCAAACUCAAAUUAACAAUAACCGAAUUCGAAUGUGAAUUUCACUUUCCAACAAUCUGAUCCAAAGCAGCACCAUUCCUUUGUAAUAACCCUUCUUUACAUCAAUCAUAAUCCUGAAAGUAGCAACAUUAGGGUAAACUCUUUUCUCAAUCAUGUAACCAUAAACCUCCCAAACAGUAUCAAAUUGAUUACAAAUCUGUGUAACAUGAAGCAAAGCAUUGAAACUCGAUAAACUGAAGGACAACGAAAGAAGCGUCAAUUAAUCUCGCUUUUGCAUAUGUUUAAAUUAACAGAUCGAGAACCAGAGGGUUCGAGAACUAGAGACAAUAAACUGACAAUUUUUAACUUGUAGUCUGUAGUUUUCUCUUUCCACUUUGUAAACAAAUGUUUUGCUACAAAAGGAGUAAUUUUUGUGCAAGGACAUCACUUCUUUUUCAAACACAUGCAAACACAAAUCCAUUAUAUGAUUUCUUUAGCUACAUUCUAUUUACUAAAAAUCGAUUGUUCAGACACUAUGCGAGGGUGUUGGUGGAUUUGGACCUUUCUAAGGACAUAUUCUAUGAGGUUAUGGUCGAAAGGGAGGGUUUUGUGUUUCCGAUAUCAAUUGAAUAUGAAGGACUGCCAGAAUGUUGUACCCAUUGCAAGAGCAUUGGUCAUAUUGUCACAUCUUGUCGAUGGUUGCAUCCAAGGGCAGCGAACAAUAAUGAGCAACUAGUAGAUAAGGGUAAGAAAUCGGUGCACUCACAAAAACAGAAGCAAGGAUGGAAGCCAUGGGAUAACACUGAAGGUGUUGGUUCCUCUAAGGCUUUUGAAAUUACGGCGUCCCGUUCUAAACAUGACACACACGUAGAGGUUGCCUCAAUUCAACACGAGAAUGUGGAGGUCGUUAGGACUCCGACCCAGCAGUCAAUGUCGCAAGAGGAGGUUGUUCCUAUAACUGCAAAUGCGACACAGUUAGAAAGACAACUUGUUGUGUUUUCUCCAAACCAUGGUGUGACGUCCAGUACUACCUUUCACAUGUCUCUGCAGAAUGUUCUGAUGAAAUUGCCAGACCCGCGCUUUCGAAUAAUGAUGUGCAACCAGUUCUCUCUUUGGUCUCGAAUUUUCCAAAUGUCCUCAAAAUCAUGGCUGGUCCGGUGGAUCUGGUGUUACAAAAUAAAAUGGAUUCCGUGCUAGAUUUACUAUUGGAAAGUGCCUCAACUGAAGUGACAUCCACCCCUUAUUUAACAAAGGUGCAAAAGACUGCAGCAACUAAGAAACAUACACCAAGGCCUGUGUUGGAAUUGGUGUUCGAGGUAGCGCACGAUAACGUGCAUUUUCAUGGAGUGGAGCAAUUGAAAUUGGAAUCUCAAGACGAGACUGCUCAGGAGAUUUCGCUUGUGGCUGUUCUGCACCCGUCUUUUGUAGAGCAUGAUGACGUGCAUGACAUUUGUGAUGCUGAUAUUGUCGUUACGGAUAAGGAGCGAAGUCCAUCACCACUUCCCCAGUUGAUUGAUACCCAAACAACGGUGCAAAUCGACAACUCAAAAGUGCAAACCGCAACAACAUCUGUCCAUGAUGAUACAGAGGUGCAGAUUGAGAAGGACCAACAUAUUCAGCCAGUUUAGAUUAGUUCAACACUUGGUCAAUAUCAAGAGAUUCACAGUAACAAGAACAUCAAGCAUGAUUUGGAAUUAUGGGCAAAAAUUCAAGAAUAUGAUCAAAGGACAGCUGACGAGGGAUUUACACAAGCCUUAACCAAGAAACAGAAGCAAACAGUAAAAAAAAUCUAAUCUUGGGAAAGCCGCCUUAUAGAACAGGUGCAAGGGUGAUCCUCCUCCAUCUGUCCAAUGAAUUUAUUAUAUUGGAAUGUCAAAAGUAUUGACAAUUCAUAUACAAGAAUUGCGUUAUUUUUUUUUGUCACAUAAGCAAACAGUAAAAUAUAUUUUCCUUUUUUUUCUUUAAAUAAAAUUUUAGAGUUUGGGAGCAUAGGACGGAGGUUUUUCGGGGUGCUAAUCUAGUUUAGAUAUCGGUGUUUCCUCCUGAUGUCUACCCUUACUCCUUGCUUAGAAAAAAAAAACUUUUAUUGAAGUAUUAUUAGUUAAUAUUAAUAUUACAUUUAUGUGAAAAUGUGUAUGAUGUGAUGUGAACACUGCCCAAAUUUAUUUAUUUAUUUUUCAUUGGGUUAGUAAUUAAUAGUAUUAUGUUUAUCUUAAAAGUUCGAGAAUAUGAUCAAUGGAUCGCGGGCGAGGGAUUAACACAAGUCUUAAUCAAGAAACAGAAGCAAACAGUAGAAAAAAUAGUCUUGAGAAAGUCGCCUUAUAGAACCCGUGCAAGGGUGAUCCUCCUCCAUUUGCGCAAUGAAUUUAUUAUAUUGGAAUGCCAGGGGUAUUGCCGAUACAAGAAUUGUGUUAAAUUUUUGGAAAAUGUUAACCAGUGUCCCCGGAGCACUGGUUAAGGAAGCAGAUAUAGUAGCUUUUGUAUUGAAAAUUGUGUAAUCAAUUUUUCAAAAGUAAAAAAAGUUUUACUUUUAAUUCAGGGGGGCAUUUUGCACAUAAGUGCAAAACUUCAGGGGGUAUUUGCAAAACGUCAUGUUGACUAACAUAAGAAUUUGACGGAGGGGGUAAAUUGAUUAAUGUUAUGCAAUUUCAGGGGGGUAAUUGACGAAACUUACAAUUUCAGAGAGUAAUUGCCUAUUUACUCGUUUUUAUUGGUUUGCAUAAUUGCGUAUUCCAUUAGACUGUUGUUGUUUGCUCUCGCAUUUUUCUGUUUGUUUUUUCUUUAAGUGUUUUGGUCUAGUACCCCCUCUUCUUUUAUAUAUAUAUAUAUUCCUUUUUUUUUAAUAAAAUUUUAGAGUUUGGCAGCAUAUGACAGAGGUUUCCCAAGGUGUCAAACUAAUUUGGAUGUCGAUGAUUUCUCCUAAUGUCUGCCCCUUACUCCCUGCUUAGAAAAAAACUUUUAUUGAAAGUUAAUAUUAAUAUUACAUUUAUCUAUAUGUGAUAUGAACACUGCUUGUUAACCGGUCUCUCAGAGCACUGGUUAAGAAAUCUAUUAAUAGAAUUGCUCUCUUAAAAAUAUAAAUUGUCUUUUUUUACCAAAUAAUAAUUACAUUACUUUUUAAUAAAAAUUUACUUUAUUUGGCGCUUAACCAAUGCUCCGGAAGACCUGUUAACAUUCUCCAUUAAUUAAUUUAUUUUUCAUUGGGGGUUAGUGUACAUCAUGUGAACACUGCCUAACUUAAUUAGUUUAUCUUUCAUUGGGUUAGUAAGUAUUUGAAUUAUCGGAGACUGUGUAUCACGUGCAGAGUACCAUUGUCUAAAUUAAUUGAUGAUUAUGAUUAUGUUUCUGUUCUUAAGCAGUAAGCAUGCAUCUACUACAUAGUUUAUUCUAAAUCCAAACAUAGUUUCUCAAUUCCUAAAACCCAUCUCAUAUAGUUCAUCGCUUUUUAACUGAGUCAUGAAUUAAUCUCUUCGUAUUUCUGUUUUGUCUUUCAGAUAUUUGUUAUUUUCCCAUUCCAAUGGCAAAAAAGAGAAAAAAAAACCAAAAACCAAAACUAAAAAAAUAGUGAUGGAAAGUUAUCUCAUAUAUUUUCUGCAUUUUUAAUUUGUACAUUAUGAAUAUGAAGAGAUUGGGUUCAGCUUAGUUUGCUGUAAUCGCUUUCUCCAUUUCAAAGGUUGGAGUUUUUAGAGGUACGCAUUAAUUUAUUUGUUUUCCUUCACUAACAUAACAUAAUUGUGAUUGAAGUUUGUUUUAAUAUUUGUUGUUAUUUGCAGAUUUUAAGUUUCUGCUUUUGAAGCCAUUUUGCAUUUUGUGAUUGAAGGCCAUUUUGCAUCAAUAGCAUCGGUUGUUCCGUUGAUUCAUAAUCCAGGUAAGAGGUUCAUGACUACUUGUUUACAAUUAAAACAAUUUAGGGGCCAUUUAUUAUUUAUUUUUUUAAGAAAAAAUUACUUUAAAAAAAAUAAUCAAUUUUAAGAGCAUUGUGUCUCUUUGUUACAACUUAAAAAAAAAAAACUAAAAAUAGCUUCGAUUUGAAUAUGUUAAGAGUAGUUCCUCAUAAUAUGGAUUUUUUUUAUAGAGAAGGAAAAUAAGUGUGAAAAGAUUGAGAUGAUUUAAAAAAAGAAAAUAAGUGUCAAAAGACGGUGGUUAAGUGCCGAUGAAUUAAAUUGGAUUUCGACAGUUAACUGCCGAAGUUUUAUAGUUAACUGCAGCCGGUUCCAUUUUCGGUGGUUAACUGCCGAAGGAUAUUUUAGUAUUUUACUCGUAUUUCUCAGCGAUACCACAUGUGUCAACGUCAAUUUUCUUAAUUUAUCUAUAGACUUCGUUGGGGAAGUAAAAUAUGCCCACUGUCUAAAUUAAUUUAUUAAUUUUCAUUGUAGUGUAGCAAUUAGUAUUAAUAUUAUGUUUAUGUGAAAAUUAAUGUGCAUCAUGUGAUGUGAAGACGACUUAUUCCACUGCCUAAAUUUAUUUAUUUAUUUUUCUUUAGAUUUUUCAUUGGGUUAGUAACUAUACACUUAUUAUAUUUAUCGGAGAGUGUGUCAAUCACGUGCAGAGUACCACUGUCUAAAUUAAUUUAUUAAUUUUCAUUGUAGUGUAGCAAUUAGUAUUAAUAUUAUGUUUAUGUGAAAAUUAAUGUGCAUCAUGUGAUGUGAAGACGACUUAUUCCACUGCCUAAAUUUAUUUAUUUAUUUUUCUUUAGAUUUUUCAUUGGGUUAGUAACUAUACACUUAUUAUAUUUAUCGGAGAGUGUGUCAAUCACGUGCAGAGUACCACUGUCUAAAUUAAUUUAUGAUUAUGUUUAUGCUCCUAACCAUGCAUCUUUAUAGGUGGCAUUUAGGGUGGGUGAGGGAAAGAGUUUCCUAUCAUGGAAAAAUAAAUUUUAACUAUUAAAUUGAAUAAAGAGCAUAUUCUUAUCAUACUCCAUCAAUACUAUAUUAUUUUUUACACUAUCUUCCCCCUCUCUUCCAUGUCCCACUCACCCACAAUCACCACAGCCACCAACAUCAAACCCAUUUCUCAAUUGUUGUACUAUAGAUCCAUAUUCAACCAGCAUAUUAGAAAACUAAGAAAAUAAACCUUUAAAUAUCUUGCUUCUAUUCUUGCCUCUACUUCUUCAUACAUAAAAAUAAACCCUUAAAUAUUAAAAUUAAGAAGCAAAGUGCAGACAAAGUAUAAGAUCUACGAAGUUUUUUUGUUUUUUUUUUAAGGUAAAGAUCUAUACAAGUUAUGCCACCGAAAUUUACUCUUCAUUUUUGAAAGAAAUUUAGUUGAUGUUAAUCCCACCGUUUUCCUAUUUUUUUUUCCCUUUUUCAGCAACAAAAAAAGUGUCUUAUUUUUGUUUUGAAACAAAAUCUACUAUUGAAACUCCAUGAACAAAUUGUGGUCUCUAUUUGUUGUUGUUGGCGUUUGGUGGUGGUGGUGGUGGGUGAGUAGAGACAUAGAGGGAAGAGAGAAGGAUGAUGGAAGAUGAUGUAAAAAUAAUAUAACGUUGAGAGACUAUCAUAAUACCGGUCUUUCUUUGAUCUAAUGCUUAAAAAAUAUCUUUCCCAUGGUGGGAAAUUCUUUCCCUCACCCACCCUAAAUGCCACCAUCUUUAUAUGUGGCAUUUAGGAUCUUUAUAUGUGGCAUUUAGGGUGGAAAUGGGAAAGAGUUUCCUACCAUACGAAAAUAGCUUUGAACCAUUAGAUUUAAGAUCUUAUCAUAGUCUCUCCACACUAUGUUUUUUCCCAUUAUUUUCAACCUCUCAACAUGCAAACAUCCCAGAAAAGAAAAAAAAACUCUCAAUACUUUGUAACACUUGUAACAAUUUCACAAAAACUAUUCAUAACUACAAAAACUAUUCAUAACUUCUCCAAUUCAAAAUUAUGUUCAACUACAGACCAUAAUUUUAUCAUAAAGUUCAAAUGUAACUACCCACACCUCUACAACCCAUCUCCCUCCUUGUCAUCACCACUUCACUGGACCUUCCUACCCAUUUCCUAGGAAAUCAAGUAGGUGUCAUGGCUAUUCAAUGCACAUCUCUGUAUGCAUUACCCCUCUUCUCACUCCCUCUCUCCACGGCUUUCUUCCUCUUUUUUUGCUGUCAUAAUCCCCCAUCUUAAGAAAAUAAAAGAAAGAAAAACAAAUCCUUCAAACCUUCAAUCAAUUAAAUACCCAGUCUUUCAAAUUCAUACUUGUAUUUGAACCAUAAUCACAAACUGUAAUUAACAAUUGGGGUUGAGAUUUUGGAUUUGUUCUCCAAUUUUACACUGUACACUUCGAGAAAAUAAUGAAGAAGGAAAAAUGGGUUUGAGCGGUGGUUAUGGCUUGAGUCACAUCCUUCACUCUAUCCAUUGAUUGAAGAAGAUUAAAGUGAUAGGUGUUGAUGGUGGGUCUCUCAUGGAGGUUGUUGAAACUAAGGUUGAAGAUAAAGUGAAAAACAAUAUAGUGUGGAUAGACCAUAAUAAAACCAAUGCACCUAUUUAAUCUAAUGGUUGAGAUUAACUUUCUCAUGGUGCACAAAUCUUACCCAUGUGCACCCUAAAUGCCACCCUUCCAAAUACAAACAUAGUUUCUCAGAGUUUAUUGCUUUGAACUGAAACAAAAUAUAGCUUGGUUGAUUGUCUUUCAAAUUUGUGUCAUUAUUCUCAUUCCUAUGGCAAAAAAAAGAAAAAGAAAACCAAAAACCAAAACUCAAAAAUAGUGAUGGAAAGUUAUCUCAUAUAUUUUAUGUAUUUUUUAAUAGUGAAGAGAUUGGGUGGGUACACAUUAGUUUCUUUUGAAGCCUUUAAAAUUUUGCAAUUUGUGAUUGAAGUUUGUUUUAAUAUUUUGUUAUUGUUGUUUGCAGAUCAUUUAGUUUCUUCUUCUUUUGAAGACAAUUUGCAUCAGUCUUGUAGAUCGCAUCAUCAAUAGAACCCGUUGUUCCAUUGGUAAGAGAUUCAUGUUUUUUUUUUUUUUGGUCAAGUAGUAUAGUGGCUAGAACUCACACAAUUAAAUUGUGGAGAAGUGGAGUGUCCGGGGUUCGAACCCCGGCCCCUGCAUAUAAUAUGCAAUAUCCCUACCAACUGAACUAAGUUCACUGGGAUUAAGAGAUUGAUGUUCUAUUACAAAGGCCUAAUGAUCUUUGUUUUUAGUAACUUAAUUUUUUUUAUACAAGCAAAUGAAUUAAUGUGAGUAUAAAGGGUAUUCAGUCCUAUUGCAAAGUAAUGAUAACCACUUUGAAGACAAGUCAAAGGAUUAGAAUUUAGAACACCAAACAAAAAAAUUUACACUUUGCUUAAUUUUAGAUCUAGCUACAAACCAGAACCAAGAUAUAGAGUUUAGAUGCUAUCUAUUUAUUUAAAAUUAUAACAAAAUAACAACUUAGAAACCUCGACAUACAACUGUGGAGACUAAUCUUUUAAGUUUAGUGAGAUCUAAAUUGUCAACAAACUCUCCCUGAGAGUUUUUGUUCUGUCAAAUUAUCUUUCAUUGGGUUAAUAAUCGGAGACUGUGUAUCAAUCACGUGCAGAGUACCGCUUUCUAUUAUUUUGUAAAAUAACCCAAGAAAACAUAAAUUAAUUAAAGGGUCCUUAAAAAAAAUAAAAAUAAUUAAAGGUUAAAUAUGUUUUUGGUCUCUAUAAAUAUAUCAAUUUUUCUCUUUCAAAAAAGAAAUAUAUCAAUUUUUUCGUUUUAAUCCCUUUAAAAUUUUCAUUCAACUUUUAGUCCUAUAAAAUUUUCAAUCACUAUUUUUAGUCCCUAUUAUUUACAAAAUAUUUGUUCCUAUUAUUUAAAUUUUUCGAUAAAAUAUAUUUAAGUUAAAUAAUACUAUAAUUAAUUGCCGUAAAUGAUUAAAUAUAGCAUAAAAGAAGGGUAAAAGAAAAAAUACUAGAAAUCUGAUUCGAACACCGUAAAGGAAAACCCAAAGUUUGGUAAAUCAUGGCCAUAAGCAAUUUUUGGGGCUAAUUUGGUUCAUCAAAAUUUUUGAUCAAAUUAAAUACAAAGCAAAAAUUUGGAAGGAUAGUGGUUGAGUUUAUGGAGAAAAAAAUAAUGGAAUGUUGGGUGUACUACAAAAGGGAAGGAGAAUAAUUUUCGAAUAUUUUAAGGGUAGAAACUAAAAUUCCGUUAAUGUCCUCACAUUUCCAACUAUUUCCCUGGCUUCUUUUGCAUUCAUCCAUACAAUAUAUUUUACUUUCACUUUCAGAUUUUGACUCAGGUCCCAAAGAAGAGGAGAAGAAACGAAAAUCAAUGGAAAUUUUAAUUUCUGUUGUUGCAAAAAUAGCAGAAUAUACCGUUGUGCCUAUUGGACGUCAAGCAAGUUACUUGAUAUUCUACAAAGUUAAUUUUAAGGUAUUAAAGGAUCAUGUUGAAGACCUUGAAGCUGCAAGAGAUGUAAUGAUCCAUUCGGUGGAAAGAGAAAGGGGAAAUGGUAAAGAAAUUGAAAAAAAUGUUUUGAAUUGGUUGGAGAAAGUGAACGAGGUCAUUGAAAAGGCGAAUUGCCUUCAAAAUGACCCUCGCCGUUUCAAUGUUAGGUGCUCAGCAUCGUCGUUCCCUAACUUGGUUUUACGUCAUCAAUUAAGUAGGAAAGCCACAAAAAUUGCAAAAGAUGUUCUCCAAGUUCAAGGUAGAGGAAUUUUUGAUCAAGUUGGUUACCUUCCCCCUCUGGAUGUAGUAGCCUCAUUCCCAACAAGAGAUGGUGAAAAGUAUGACACAAGAGAGUCACUUAAGGAGGACAUUGUGAAGGCUUUAGCAGAUCCUACUUCAUGCAACAUUGGGCUUUAUGGGCUGGGCGGGGUCGGCAAGACCACUCUAGUGGAGAAAGUUGCUCAAAUAGCCAAGCAACGUAAAUUGUUCAAUAAUGUGGUUAUGACAGAAGUAUCGAAAAAUCCAAACAUCAAAUUAAUUCAAGAUGAGAUUGCAGAUUUUUUGAAUCUACGAUUCGAAGAGACGACUAUUCUUGGCAGAGCACAACGCCUAAGGCAGAGAAUCAAGAUGGAGAAAAGUAUCCUUAUCAUUCUAGAUAAUGUAUGGACCAAACUUGAUUUGAAAAUUGUUGGGAUUCCAUUUGGCAAUGAACAUAAAAGUUGCAAAUUGUUGAUGACAAGUAGAAAUCAGGAAGUGUUGCUUCAAAUGGAUGUUCCAAAGGAUUUUAUUUUCAAAGUUGAACUUAUGAGUGAAAACGAGACAUGGAGCUUGUUUCAAUUUAUGGUUGGGGAUGUGGUUAAAGAUAGAAAUUUGAAAGGUAUACCAUUUCAAGUUGCCAAAAAAUGUGCAGGUUUGCCUCUUAGGGUAGUGACGGUAGCGGGUGCAAUGAAAAAUAAAAGGGAUAUCCAGUCUUGGAAAAAUGCAUUCAGACAAUUACAAAGUUAUGAUGAUACAUAUCAGAUGGAUGCAGAAACUUAUUCUGCUUUGGAAUUAAGUUACAAUUCAUUGCAGAGUGAUGAAAUGAGGGCUCUCUUCUUACUUUUUGCAUCACUGUCAGGCAAUGAUGUGGAGUACUUUCUCCAAGUUGCAAUGGGGUUAGACAUAUUGAAGCAUACCGUGGAUGACGCAAGAAACAAACUAGUCACAAUAAUCAAAUCUUUGGAGGCGACUUGUCUUUUGCAUGAAGUUAAAACAGAUGCAAAGAUCCAUAUGCAUGACUUUGUUCGUGAUUUUGCUAUCUCCGUAGCACGUAGGGACAAACAUGUAUUUAUAAGAAAACAAUCUGAUGAGAAAUGGCCAACCAAGGAUUUUUUGAAAAGGUGUAUGCAGAUCGUUCUUUAUAUGCAUGAUGAGCUUCCUCAAACGAUUGAUUGUCCAAAUGUUAAGCUUUUAUAUUUGUGCAAUAAGAAUCAAUCUUUAGAAAUCCCCGAUACCUUUUUUGAGGGUAUGAGAAACCUUGGAGCGCUAGCUUUGACGUCUUUGAAGUUGUCAUCAUUACCCACAUCAUUUCGGUUGCUAACAGGCCUUCAAACAUUGUGUUUGGAUCAUUGCAUUUUAGAAAAUAUGGAAGCAAUAGAAGCUUUGCAAAAUUUAAAAAUUCUUCGUCUGUGGAAAUCUUCGAUGAUCAAGUUGCCAAAAGAAAUAGGGAGAUUGAUUAAUUUGAGAAUGCUUGAUUUGAGCCACUCAGGAAUAGAAGUUGUCCCACCCAACAUCAUAUCAAGCUUGACUAAAUUGGAGGAGUUGUACAUGGGAAAUACCUCUAUUAAUUGGGAAGAUGUUAAUUCAACAGUUCAAAGUGAAAAUGCUAGUAUUACUGAGCUUCAAAAGCUACUCAACUUGACAGCUCUAGAAUUACAAAUUCGUGAGACUUGGUUGUUGCCAAGGGACUUGCGUUUGAUGUUUGAGAAGCUGGAAAGAUAUAAAAUAGCAAUCGGAGAUGUAUGGGACUGGUCUGACAUUAAGGAUGGAACCUUAAAAACAUUGAUGCUCAAACUUGGUACAAACAUACAUUUGGAGCAUGGAAUUAAAGCAUUGAUUAAAGGUGU